Molecule: non-coding RNA, 154 nt
Organism: Populus trichocarpa (black cottonwood)
Lineage: Eukaryota; Viridiplantae; Streptophyta; Magnoliopsida; Malpighiales; Salicaceae
Source: Rfam
UCUAGAACUCGAGAUAGGCUGAACACUGAACAGUGUCUGGGCUACAUGACAGAUUCUGACUUCUCUUUUGUUGCUACAAUUUGAACUUGAAAACGGCAAUUUUGAAUUUUGGACUCUUCAUGAAAGUUUUAGGCCUAUGUCUUAGCUUUCCAUC